UUAAAUUGAAGAGUUUGAUCAUGGCUCAGAUUGAACGCUGGCGGCAGGCCUAACACAUGCAAGUCGAACGGUAACAGGAAGCAGCUUGCUGCUUUGCUGACGAGUGGCGGACGGGUGAGUAAUGUCUGGGAAACUGCCUGAUGGAGGGGGAUAACUACUGGAAACGGUGGCUAAUACCGCAUAACGUCGCAAGACCAAAGAGGGGGACCUUCGGGCCUCUUGCCAUCAGAUGUGCCCAGAUGGGAUUAGCUUGUUGGUGAGGUAACGGCUCACCAAGGCGACGAUCCCUAGCUGGUCUGAGAGGAUGACCAGCCACACUGGAACUGAGACACGGUCCAGACUCCUACGGGAGGCAGCAGUGGGGAAUAUUGCACAAUGGGCGCAAGCCUGAUGCAGCCAUGCCGCGUGUAUGAAGAAGGCCUUCGGGUUGUAAAGUACUUUCAGCGGGGAGGAAGGUGUUGUGAGUAAUAACCACAGCAAUGGACGUUACCCGCAGAAGAAGCACCGGCUAAC
Molecule: ribosomal RNA, 513 nt
Filed under: Salmonella enterica subsp. enterica serovar Schwarzengrund
Lineage: Bacteria; Pseudomonadati; Pseudomonadota; Gammaproteobacteria; Enterobacterales; Enterobacteriaceae
Description: bacterial SSU rRNA
Rfam family: Bacterial small subunit ribosomal RNA
Source: RNAcentral